GAGUUUGAUCAUGGCUACAGAUUGAACGCUGGCGGCAUGCUUUACUACAUGCAAGUCGAACGGCAGCACAGGGAGCUUGCUCCCGGGUGGCGAGUGGCGCACGGGUGAGUAAUACAUCGGAACGUGUCCUGUUGUGGGGGAGUAACUGCUCGAAAGGGUGGCUAAUACCGCAUGAGACCUGAGGGUGAAAGCGGGGGAUCGUAAGACCUCGCGCAAUUGGAGCGGCCGAUGCCCGAUUAGCUAGUUGGUGAGGUAAAGGCUCACCAAGGCGACGAUCGGUAGCUGGUCUGAGAGGACGACCAGCCACACUGGGACUGAGACACGGCCCAGACUCCUACGGGAGGCAGCA
This 349-nucleotide ribosomal RNA is filed under the name uncultured bacterium. RNAcentral describes it as "bacterial SSU rRNA". It matches the Rfam family "Bacterial small subunit ribosomal RNA", at positions 9 to 353 of the family's 1533-position model. The record is from RNAcentral.